CCGGCCCGGCCUAUGAUUUCACCAUCCUUCUCUGCCAUCGACCGGCCACGCUCCCGCUCCGCACACCGCCGCCGCCGACGACGACCGCCGCGCUCCUCCACCUGGUGAUCCCAGGUUAGCGAUCUGUACGCAGUACCCAGGUAUGCUUCGUUCUCUGUUCGGGCCAUCUUUCUGCCUCUCCAAACCCCUCUCCGGACAGACGGAUCGGAGGGCUAAUACAGAAGGAGAAGGGGGGCAAUGCGUGACGGAGAUGGGGAAAUCUGGUUUUGGGGAAUAGGUGUAGGUGGCGGCGGAGAGGGUGAUAGCGAUGAUCAGUAUCUAGGAUUUCCAGUUCGACGGGGAGAUGCAGCCUUUUCAGAAGAUGUAAACUUUGCCUGUGCGAAGACUGGAGCCAGAAAGACACACAGCAUAUGAUAUCUGUUAUGAAUAAUUCGGAUGCCUUGAAACGCCUUUAUGUAAGUUUCUCGAGAUACCAAGUUGGUUUUAUUUAUCUUUUUAAAUUA
Oryza sativa Japonica Group (Japanese rice) is the source of this 503-nucleotide long non-coding RNA. RefSeq lists it as uncharacterized. The record is from RefSeq and is a predicted model, not a curated record. Lineage: Eukaryota; Viridiplantae; Streptophyta; Magnoliopsida; Poales; Poaceae.